Long non-coding RNA from Xenia sp. Carnegie-2017, 685 nucleotides. RefSeq lists it as uncharacterized. Lineage: Eukaryota; Metazoa; Cnidaria; Anthozoa; Malacalcyonacea; Xeniidae. The transcript is spliced from 3 exons. The record is from RefSeq and is a predicted model, not a curated record.
AAAGCUCUUAUGCAAGCACAGAAGUGUUUGCACAAAAGUUUGUUGUGUCUCCAGUCUACGCAGGUGCAGUUUGGAAGCGUUUGUUCAUCACCAAAAAGUACGAUAUGGUGCUCCUUCCCUGUUGAACUUUUUACUUCAAAGACCCCUGGGGACACCAUGUGGACCAUGUCUUUGCUAAUGUCACUAUCCCAACGCUUCAUAAUAUGAGACACCAUUCUGGCAGGUCUGUUGUGCAGAAAUUUUGGAAGUUCCUCAUUAUAAGCACGAAUCCAAAGAUGACUAAAGUCUACAGUAAGUGCCGCUGUAGUUAGCCUAAUCACACCUUUCAAUAAUUUGUUAAUUAAGCAGUUGUUUUUUCAAAAGAAGGGGCCUGUGUCACACAACAAAAACCCUACGAAAUGAAUUUUUCCUUCAAAACUGGUAUUUGGGAGAAACCGAUCAACAAGUGCUGUCAGCAUAUCACUUAAGGAGCACCCUUUAUUCCCAUGGAGGUACUCAUAUUUGAAUGCCUUAUUCUGUCUUUCAAUGCCAUUGUUCGUGUUCACUGCACAAAUGAAAUCUCCUGUCCGAUACGCUUGACACCAUCUCUGUAAGAAAACGAUCAAUACAGUAUAUUUUGCAUGUUCUGCUAGUACAUAGUAUUUUAUUUGAGAUUAUGAAAUAAUACAACGAUAUAAGCCCUGGA